GUAGGGUGCGAGCGUUAUCCGGAAUCAUCGGGCGUAAAGAGCUCGUAGGCGGUUCAGCAAGUCGGCUGUGAAAUUCCGAGGCUCAACCUCGGAACUGCAGUCGAUACUGUUGUGACUCGAGUCCGGUAGAGGAGAAUGGAAUUCCCGGUGUAGCGGUGAAAUGCGCAGAUAUCGGGAGGAACACCAGUAGCGAAGGCGGUUCUCUGGGCCGGCACUGACGCUGAGGAGCGAAAGCGUGGGGGUAGCAAACAGGAUUAGAUACCCUGGUAGUCCACGCCCGUAAACGUUGGAUACUAGGUGUGGGGUUCCGACCAACGGUCCCCGUGCCGAAGCUAACGCAUUAAGUAUCCCCGCCUGGGGAUACGGCCGCAAGGCUA
Molecule: ribosomal RNA, 377 nt
Filed under: uncultured organism
Description: partial 16S ribosomal RNA
Rfam family: Bacterial small subunit ribosomal RNA
Source: RNAcentral